GAUGAAGAACGCAGUGAAAUGCGAUAAGUAAUGUGAAUUGCAGAAUUCAGUGAAUCAUCGAAUCUUUGAACGCACAUUGCGCCCGCCAGUAUUCUGGCGGGCAUGCCUGUCCGAGCGUCAUUUCAACCCUCGAACCCCUCCGGGGGGUCGGCGUUGGGGAUCGGCCCUUUCACCGGGUGCCGGCCCCUAAAUACAGUGGCGGUCUCGCCGCAGCCUCUCAUGCGCAGUAGUUUGCACACUCGCACCGGGAGCGCGGCGCGUCCACGUCCGUAAAACACCCCAACUUCUGAAAUGUUGACCUCGGAUCAGGUAGGAAUACCCGCUGAACUUAAGCAUAUCAAAGCGGAGGA
Molecule: unclassified non-coding RNA, 350 nt
Filed under: soil metagenome
Description: partial contains 5.8S ribosomal RNA, internal transcribed spacer 2, and large subunit ribosomal RNA
Rfam family: 5.8S ribosomal RNA (bases 1-120)
Source: RNAcentral